Molecule: long non-coding RNA, 804 nt
Organism: Sarcophilus harrisii (Tasmanian devil)
Lineage: Eukaryota; Metazoa; Chordata; Mammalia; Dasyuromorphia; Dasyuridae
Exons: 2
Source: RefSeq, a predicted model, not a curated record
CCUCUUGUGGAAGGUGGGUUCCAGCUGACUCUUGAAAGAAAUCGGGGAAGUCAGGAGGCGGAGGUGAGGAGGCCGAGUGGUCAUGGGCAACAGCUGGUGAAGAGCCAGGGCAUUACAGCCUCCCGUGUGGGGCUGCCGGGAGGGCACAGACCCUCCUCCCCUUUAAGCCGAGCCCUCUCACGGUCUGUCUGCGGAGCUGGUGUUGGGGUUUAUCUCCCGAGCCGAGCCAAGUCUCCGGUUGGCCGUCGGGUGUACCUCUGGGUGCUGGACCCCAGGAGGAGGUCGGCAGCUUUCUAAGCCCUGAGCGGGAGCCCCUGCUCCGCGGAUUUCUCCAGCCCCUGAGAGAGAGCCCUUCCAUUCGGGCCUUGCCCUUGGGCCUUCCAUGCAAGAGGCCGGUGCCCUUAGUGGGCAGAUAACCAGACGGUUCCUGGAGCUCAGUUCUCUCCACACUUGCACCAAAUGUGAAGAUCGCAGGAUCUUGCCGGGUGGAUGAGAGACUUCUUGUGGGAGAGGACCUGCCUCGAGGACUGCCUUUUGCCGUUGUGGCUGAUGAACGAUGUAUUUGAUGAAAGCUGGACCCUAGCUGGAGGUCUGCUAGAGGAGGCAGCAUGUCACAGUGGAGAGAGCUCCAGCUUCAGAGUGAGGAAGAUCUGGGUUCCAGUCCUAUUUCCACCACCUACCAACAUACAGACGUAUAUGGACCGGCUGGGCGGUGCCCCUGUAUGUAGAGCUCUGGCCCUGUCGUCAGGAAGAACAAUUCGAUAAAGCCUCAGACAAUGACUGGCUGUGUGAUCCUGGGUUAAU